RNAcentral lists this ribosomal RNA (397 nucleotides) under Holepyris sp. RNAcentral describes it as "partial large subunit ribosomal RNA". Lineage: Eukaryota; Metazoa; Arthropoda; Insecta; Hymenoptera; Bethylidae. The record is from RNAcentral.
AAAACAUUUCUUUUUGAUUAUAAUUAUAAGUAGACUCUGCCCUAUGAUAAAAAAUUAAAUGGCUGCAGUAUAUUGACUGUACAAAGGUAGCAUAAUCAAUUGUUCUUUAAUUGGGAUCUUGGAUGAAUGAGGUGAUGAAUUAAAUUCUUUAUUUAAAUUAUAAUAUGAAUUUAGAUUUAAAGUAAAAAUUCUUUAAUAAUUUUAUGGGACGAGAAGACCCUAUAGAAUUUUAUUUAUUAAUAAAAAAUAAUUAUUUAUUAAAAUUUUUUUAUUAUAAAUUUGUUUGGGAGGAAUAUUAAAUUUUUAAACUUUAAUAAGUUUUUAACAAAGUUAAUUGAAUUUGUUGAUUUUAGUUUUAAUUUUUAGAUUAAAUUACCUUAGGGAUAACAGCAUAAUA